Molecule: ribosomal RNA, 497 nt
Filed under: uncultured bacterium
Lineage: Bacteria
Description: partial 16S ribosomal RNA
Rfam family: Bacterial small subunit ribosomal RNA
Source: RNAcentral
GAUGAACGCUGGCGGCGUGCCUAAUACAUGCAAGUCGAGCGAACGGACGAGAAGCUUGCUUCUCUGAUGUUAGCGGCGGACGGGUGAGUAACACGUGGAUAACCUACCUAUAAGACUGGGAUAACUUCGGGAAACCGGAGCUAAUACCGGAUAAUAUUUUGAACCGCAUGGUUCAAAAGUGAAAGACGGUCUUGCUGUCACUUAUAGAUGGAUCCGCGCUGCAUUAGCUAGUUGGUAAGGUAACGGCUUACCAAGGCAACGAUGCAUAGCCGACCUGAGAGGGUGAUCGGCCACACUGGAACUGAGACACGGUCCAGACUCCUACGGGAGGCAGCAGUAGGGAAUCUUCCGCAAUGGGCGAAAGCCUGACGGAGCAACGCCGCGUGAGUGAUGAAGGUCUUCGGAUCGUAAAACUCUGUUAUUAGGGAAGAACAUAUGUGUAAGUAACUGUGCACAUCUUGACGGUACUUAAUCAGAAAGCCACGGCUAACUACGUG